Molecule: ribosomal RNA, 781 nt
Filed under: uncultured rumen archaeon
Lineage: Archaea
Description: bacterial SSU rRNA
Rfam family: Archaeal small subunit ribosomal RNA
Source: RNAcentral
CGACCUUUAGGGCGCAGCAGUCGCGAAACUCCGCAAGCGUGAAUCGGUACGGGGGUCCUCAGUGCCAGUCUAAAUGGGUGGCUUUCUUUAGUGUAAAAGCUAUUGGCAUAAGGCGUGUGCAAGACCGGUGCCAGCCGCCCCGGUAACACCGGCAGCUCUAGUGGUAGCCAUUUGUAUAGGGCCUAAAGCGUUCGUAUCCGGUUUGAUAAGUCUCUGGUGAAAUCUCGUAGCUUAACUGUGGGAAUUGCUGGAGAUACUAUUAGACUUGAGGUCGGGAGAGGUUAGCGGUACUCCCAGGGUAGAGGGUGAAAUCCUGUAAUCCUGGGAGGACCACCUGUGGCGAAGGCGGCUAACUGGAACGAACCUGACGGUGAGGGACGAAAGCCAGGGGCGCGAACCGGAUUAGAUACCCGGGUAGUCCUGGCUGUAAACGAUGUGGACUUGGUGUUGCGAUGGCUUCGAGCUGUUUCAGUGCCGAAGGGAAGCUGUUAAGUCCGCCCCUUGGGAAGUACGGUCGCAAGACUGAAACUUAAAGGAAUUGGCGGGGGAGCACCACAACGCGUGGAGCGUGCGGUUUAAUUGGAUUCAACGCCGGACAUCUCCCCAGGAGCGACAUCCGUAUGAUAGCCAGGUUGAUGACCUUGCUUGUCAAGUUGAGAGGAGGUGCAUGGCCGCCGUCAGCUUGUACCGUGAGGCGUCCUGUUAAGUCUGGCAACGAGCGAGACCCAAAUCACUAGGAAGAACGCGGCCGCCUGCUUCUCUCACCAUAUGAGGAGCUCCC